GAUUGAAAGCUGGCGUCUUCGGCGUCCGCAUUGUAAUCUCAAGAAGUGUUUUCCGCUUCGGACCAUGCCUAAGUCCCUUGGAAAAGGGCAUCAUAGAGGGUGAUAAUCCCGUACAUGGCAUGGAGCGCCCGAAGCUUUGUGAUACGCUUUCUAAGAGUCGAGUUGUUUGGGAAUGCAGCUCAAAAUGGGUGGUAAAUGCCAUCUAAGGCUAAAUAUUGGGGAGAGACCGAUAGCGAACAAGUACAGUGAUGGAAAGAUGAAAAGAACUUUGAAAAGAGAGUUAAACAGUACGUGAAAUUGCCAAAAGGGAAGGGUAGGAGGUCAGAGAUGCGGCCUAGGAUUCAGCCUUGCUUUUGCUUGGUGUUUUUCCUAGAUUGCAGGCCAACGUCGGUUUUGGGCACUGGAGAAUGGUGGAAGGAAUGUGGCACCUCUCGGGGUGUGUUAUAGCCUUCUACUGGAUACAGCGACCGAGACCGAGGACAGCAGCGUACUCGCAAGAGCGGGCCUUCGGGCACCUUUACGCUUAGGGCGUUGGCAUAAUGGCCCUCUACCACCCGUCUUGAA
RNAcentral lists this ribosomal RNA (564 nucleotides) under uncultured Pseudozyma. RNAcentral's name for it is "eukaryotic LSU rRNA". It matches the Rfam family "Eukaryotic large subunit ribosomal RNA", at positions 112 to 658 of the family's 3401-position model. The record is from RNAcentral. Lineage: Eukaryota; Fungi; Basidiomycota; Ustilaginomycetes; Ustilaginales; Ustilaginaceae.